RNAcentral lists this ribosomal RNA (323 nucleotides) under uncultured eukaryote. Its description in RNAcentral is "partial 18S ribosomal RNA". It matches the Rfam family "Eukaryotic small subunit ribosomal RNA", at positions 1470 to 1796 of the family's 1831-position model. The record is from RNAcentral.
CCCUUAGAUGUUCUGGGCCGCACGCGUGCUACACUGAGCGGGCCAACGGGUGAGGAUGUGCGAAAGCGCUUCCCAAUCUCGAAAUCCGUUCGUGCUGGGGAUAGAAGCUUGCAAUUAUCCUUCUUGAACGAGGAAUACCUUGUAAGCGUGAGUCAUCAUCUCACGCUGAAUACGUCCCUGCCCUUUGUACACACCGCCCGUCGCUCCUACCGAUUGAGUGUUCCGGUGAGGCUUUGGGAGAAUGGCCUCAACAUGAGUUUAUCGUGUUUUGCCGUUUGAACUUAGUCAAACCUUAUCACUUAGAGGAAGGAGAAGUCGUAACA